RNAcentral lists this long non-coding RNA (568 nucleotides) under Salvia miltiorrhiza (redroot sage). Its description in RNAcentral is "long non-coding RNA (SMIL_LNC013153)". Lineage: Eukaryota; Viridiplantae; Streptophyta; Magnoliopsida; Lamiales; Lamiaceae. The record is from RNAcentral.
UAAAUUCACAUAAUAUCACGUCAAAGCAGUCGGCAAACACAGACAACUAGACGUCUCUCUGACCGACUCUUUUCAUCAAGGUUUCUCACUCUUUCUUUCUCGACUCUAUUUCCAACUCAUCAUUCCUAUUUUCUUAAUAGGAUAAAUCAGUCUCUCUGACAACUCAGUACCCGGUAACUCAAUUCCCGGUAGUCGGAAAUAAAAUAAAAUCUCAACUCAAUUCAAUCAGCAUCUCUAACUCAACUCAUUUCUCAAAUCUCAUCACUCUAACUCCAUCAUUCGUUUGUCCGCUCAUAUCUCUAUUUAAAAGACAAUCUAUCUUAUCUGGUCCUAAAAAAAAUAAAAAAAUUAAAAAAAAUUAUAAUCUCACAUCUCGACAUCUCAGUACUCUCAAUAGUAUUAAGACACUAUCUCACAACAUAAGGAAAAGUACGGGGUGUUCAACCUUGUUCUUGUAUUUCUUGUUGCCCAUUUGACCUUGUCUUGGGGCGUCUUUGGCUUUAGGAGAGAAAGCUCGGCGGAGAGUCACAUCAAGCUUAACCAUCCAGAAUCAACAAGAGCACAUCAA